GAAAAACUGCAUUCAGAGGUUACGAGUGUGGUGGUGGGUUACCUCCCAGGAGCAGAUGACUGGCAUGGUUAGUGAUCACUAGGCCAUGAAUCUCAUGGAUCCCAUGAUACAGGUAUCUGGUCCAGAUCCGACGGAGACAAGCAAAAUCGUGCUGCUGCUUCUUCUUUCGAUUGAAAAUCCAGGUGAAAACUUUCAAGAACUCAGGACGACGCGCAUUGAUUAUAUUUCAUUGUGAUGGCCAUUGCCGACACAGCUACUAUGGGUACAAGAAACUUCUAUUUCGCUCGUCACCGGAGACCACCGCCCAGAUCCAUCUCUUCUCAACCAUGCUGACGUGGUUGUCAGGGGCGCUUACAACUUGUGAGGGCCUGCGUUCUUGCUGUUGAUCCAUGAUGGCAUGGCCUCCCCGCGCCCUAGCCGCGUUCUAGCUGAUGGUUUGGGUCUGCCAGCGAAGGGGGAGGGGGACGACCUCUGUCGCUCCUUCUCUCGAGCCUCUUCAUCUUGAUGAAGCCGUAGGAGUAGAGGGGCACGCACGUGAUGGAUCUGCUCCGAGCACUUCAAGCCAC
This is a long non-coding RNA of Triticum dicoccoides, 566 nucleotides long. RefSeq lists it as uncharacterized. The transcript has 3 exons. The record is from RefSeq and is a predicted model, not a curated record. Lineage: Eukaryota; Viridiplantae; Streptophyta; Magnoliopsida; Poales; Poaceae.